RNAcentral lists this ribosomal RNA (494 nucleotides) under uncultured bacterium. RNAcentral's name for it is "partial 16S ribosomal RNA". It matches the Rfam family "Bacterial small subunit ribosomal RNA", at positions 29 to 507 of the family's 1533-position model. The record is from RNAcentral.
AUGAACGCUGGCGGCGUGCCUCAUACAUGCCAGUAGAACGCUGAAGGCGGAGCUUGCUCUUCUGGAUGGGUUGCGAACGGGUGAGUAACGCGUAGGUAACCUGCCUGGUAGCGGGGGAUAACUAUUGGAAACGAUAGCUAAUACCGCAUGACAACAGUUAUUGCAUGAUAACUGUUUAAAAGGGGCAACUGCUCCACUACCAGAUGGACCUGCGUUGUAUUAGCUAGUUGGUGAGGUAACGGCUCACCAAGGCGACGAUACAUAGCCGACCUGAUAGGGUGGGCAGCCACACUGGGACUGAGACACGGCCCAGAGGCCUACGGGAGGCAGCAGGAGGGAAUCGGGAGCAAUGGACGGAAGACUGACCGAGCAACGCCGCGUGAGUGAAGAAGGUUGUCGGAUCGUGAAGCUCGGUUGUAGGAGAAGAACGAGUGUGAGAGUGGAAAGUUCACACUGUGACGGUAUCUUACCAGAAAGGGACGGCUAACUACGUG